Molecule: ribosomal RNA, 502 nt
Filed under: uncultured bacterium
Lineage: Bacteria
Description: partial 16S ribosomal RNA
Rfam family: Bacterial small subunit ribosomal RNA
Source: RNAcentral
GACGAACGCUGGCGGCGUGCUUAACACAUGCAAGUCGAACGGUGAAGGGGCCUGCUUUUGUGGGCCCUGGAUGAGUGGCGAACGGGUGAGUAACACGUGAGUAACCUGCCCCCUUCUUCUGGAUAACCGCAUGAAAGUGUGGCUCAUACGGGAUAUUCUGGGUCUGUCGCAUGAUGGGUCUGGGAAAGAUUGCGCCUUUGGGUGUUUUUGGUGGGGGAUGGGCUCGCGGCCUAUCAGCUUGUUGGUGGUGUGAUGGCCUACCAGGGCGGUGACGGGUAGCCGGCCUGAGAGGGUGGACGGUCACACUGGGACUGAGACACGGCCCAGACUCCUACGGGAGGCAGCAGUGGGGAAUAUUGCACAAUGGGCGCAAGCCUGAUGCAGCGACGCCGCGUGAAGGAUGGAGGCCUUCGGGUUGUAAACCUCUGUCGCCAGUGAAGCAGGCCUGCUCCUUGUGGGUGGGUUGACGGUAGCUGGAUAAGAAGCGCCGGCUAACUACGUG